This 301-nucleotide ribosomal RNA is filed under the name uncultured bacterium. Its description in RNAcentral is "partial 16S ribosomal RNA". It matches the Rfam family "Bacterial small subunit ribosomal RNA", at positions 509 to 807 of the family's 1533-position model. The record is from RNAcentral.
CAGCAGCCGCGGUAAUACGUAGGGUGCAAGCGUUAAUCGGAAUUACUGGGCGUAAAGCGUGCGCAGGCGGUUAUAUAAGACAGAUGUGAAAUCCCCGGGCUCAACCUGGGAACUGCAUUUGUGACUGUAUAGCUAGAGUACGGCAGAGGGGGAUGGAAUUCCGCGUGUAGCAGUGAAAUGCGUAGAUAUGCGGAGGAACACCAAUGGCGAAGGCAAUCCCCUGGGCCUGUACUGACGCUCAUGCACGAAAGCGUGGGGAGCAAACAGGAUUAGAUACCCCCGUAGUCCCUGUCUCUUAUAC